CCCCUUCCACGCAACCAGCAACAAGCAGUUUCUCUACUCACCCUUCCCACAUCUGCAGCCAGAACGGCCGCGGCGACCGUGAUGCAGCCACGUGCGACGGCGGCCAAGCGGGAAGCAGCCACCGCAGCGACGAAUGCCCCGGUGGGGAGCUCAUCUGCAGCCGUGGAGUUGCCAAAUGGAGGAGCGGCUGCUACCGCGACGGUUGCAGCCCCGGAUCCGCCGUCUGCGGCCGGUGGCAAGGCGGCAAGAGCUGCGUCAGCCGCUACUUCUCUUUCCCCGCGUCGCUCACGAAAGGCGAAGAACCGUGGCAAGAAGACAGAGAUCCUAGAUGCUGAUCCAUCCGGCGGAGACAAGUCUGGACCAAGCAUUACCACUCCAUUGACUUCAACUAGGUCUAUUAAAUGAGCUCAAACGCAAGAUCACGGAGGUAGCUGGGGCGGUGCUGGUCAGCGAGAGAAAUAAAGCUACCAAGGAAGUUUUAGAUAGAAUAGAGAAAAUAGACAACUCAGUCAAGGUUUUGCAGGAGGGUACUGCGAAGCUUGCUCAUGAAGUUAAUCUCACGAGCGCUAGUGGCCACAUGGUGCAGCUGCAUAAUUUGGGCAACGGGAUUGCAUCACCUGUGAUGGAAGAAAUGGCAAGCGUUUUUAUGAGUGAAAAGAGAGGUGAACAGAAGCCAUACAAUGAAAACGACUUUGAUUGUGGGCGGUUUA
Molecule: long non-coding RNA, 710 nt
Organism: Triticum dicoccoides
Lineage: Eukaryota; Viridiplantae; Streptophyta; Magnoliopsida; Poales; Poaceae
Exons: 3
Source: RefSeq, a predicted model, not a curated record